Long non-coding RNA from Suricata suricatta (meerkat), 1950 nucleotides. RefSeq lists it as uncharacterized. NCBI's taxonomy places the organism in Eukaryota, Metazoa, Chordata, Mammalia, Carnivora, Herpestidae. The transcript has 6 exons. The record is from RefSeq and is a predicted model, not a curated record.
UUCAGCUGUGACGUGCAGGCUGCGCUGCAGGUGGUAUUUGAUGAGGAAACACCUGCAGGAGGUAAGGGCGGGGACACCGGUGUGUCACAGCAGGAACAUCGCGGCAGAGUGAGAGGGCAAGGCAAGGGGACAGCGACGGACACAUGAGAUCUUCGGGGCCCAGAGGCCUCCGAUGGAAGGAGGAGAUGCCGCCGUGGAGUCCGAGCAAAGCUGUGCCGUGAGCUGCUUUAGGUUCAGAGGUCCCGCUGGCUGGUCACGGCGGAGCGUCCGGAGAGGCGGAGAGGGCUGGGUGACGGCACCCCGGGACAGAUGUCCGCGGCACCCCAGGACAGAGGCUUCUAAGACCUGUGAACCAUAGGCACAGACUGGAAUGAGAAGUCCACACUCGGAGCUCUUCGGAUCUGGACUGGAGCGCCCACUUGCACAGAGCCCGAGUGCAGCCUGUGUGUGGAGAGAGCCCUGUCACGGGAUUUCCAGCUGUGGUGAAGGGACUCUCCCCUUGUUAGAGGCAAGUCUGGAACUCUGGAUCACACGUUGCCAACUUCUCUUGCAGGACUCGUGCCUUGGUGACCCACCCACUUCCGGUCAGUUCCCCGCAAGGAAAGGAGACCAGCGCGAUGGAGGAGAGGCGUAGGUGCGCGGGGUCUCUGAGGCCCCGCAGACACCUGCCCUGACGUCACAGCCGGGACCGCGGCCCCCGGCAGCACCGUCACGCCUGCUGUCCUGUCUGGGGGCGGGAGAGCAGGGCCGCGGAGGUCCGCAGAAGCGGGGUGCUGGCGGCUCCCGACGGCACCUGCUCCGUGUCACUCAGACGUCCGGUGCGAGCCAGGGGACCCCCGCAGUCAGCCAGCUACGCGCUGCGCUCCCCAGGAGCCGUCCGGCCGGUCCCCUGAAGACAGGUUGAAGGUGUUGCACGUCGGUUACUUCCCUUGUGUUUUUCGAACGUCCGUGCUGAUGAUUUUCAGAGAAAACUUGUAUUUAGAGCGAAGAGAAUCAACAGUAAAAUGACGCGCUGGGACUGUCCAUACAGCCGUAAACCAAAAUGCUGGAUAAAAUAAGCAAAACUGCUUAGGGGAGUCAAAGUAGUGACCACGCAAGGGUCUGCCGGGGGGAUGCUGAGUCAAAGCAGAAACAAAGCAGUUUGGUGUCCUGAGUCACACAGGAGGAGAAGCCCACCCGGGACACCCAUCCCGUCCACCCGAGGCCGCUCUGGGACGGGUCCCCGCGAGCCCAGCUCCCGACACAGACGAAUGUCCGGGGCAGCUUGGGGCCCAUGCACCUGAAAAACACAGUGGCUGGACGACGCAGGCACUUCGCUGUGUUAGGCUCUACUGACCUUCUCAUGACCUGUCACAAGGCCGAUCAUCCGCCUCCAGACCUCAGUUGACCACGGGCAGCGGAAACGGCUGCCUGAUAGAGUGGCCCAAAGCCCCCACGCUGGAUCACACGGCUGGUCUUCCCAACAGAGCUGUGGUACGUGGCCUGACCCACCCUGAAUAUACAGUAAAACCUUGGAUUACAAGCAUCUUAUUCGGCGAGCGAUCCGCAAGACGAGCAAACAUUUCAUUUCUGAUCAAGUUCGCCUUAUAAGUGAGCGAUGUCUUGCAAUGUGAGUUGCACAUGCCACCGAACAUCAGAGGAUCACAACUGAGGCAAUGGCUCUGAAAUCCGCUUGGAUAUACAACAUACAUUGGCUCUAUUCGCUUGGAAGGGUUUAGAUUACAAGCGUGUUCCUGGAGCGAAUUAUGCUCGCAAACCAAGGUUUUACUACUACUAUUCGGUACGACACAGAUUAUCUUCCCAUAGAUGAAGCAAAGGCCAGACCUCUCUGGCUGCUUUCACUCCAUGGGAAGGGAUGGGCUCGCCUCCACACACUCACCUUGAAUGGGAGCUGCAACAGACAGAAUGUCAGCCGUUGUAGUUUUUGAAGAAACUAAAAACACUGGUAAA